UCUCCCAAUCCCCGCUCUCCUCCAUCGUCCUCCUCACCCUCCCUUGCCGACGGUCGAGCCCCCUUGCCGCACCUCCACCCACGUAGGCUGCGCCGCCCCCUCCACAACUUAACCAACAACGAAGUAGAUGGGGAGGAGGAAGCUCAAGCUCGAGACAGCGGAGCAGUUGAGGUCUUCCUUGCUGCCGUGGAGUGGUGAACCCUUCCUUCCUUCCCCCUCUCUCCAUAAGCUGCUCCACCACCUUCCUUUUUGAUAGCACCGAUGGCCUCUCCUGACCCAAGCGGGUUGCUGCCGACAGUGGGCCUCACCACCACCCACUCUCUCUCUCUCUUCAUAAGGGCCCAUCAGAUCGAUGCCCCCAUAUUUUCGUCGUCACAUUCCUCUGUAUCUCACCACCAUCCACUCCCUCUUUUUACAAGGGCCCAUCAGAUCGAUGCCCUCAUCUUUUCAUCGUUAUGUUUUUUGUCACCCAUGCCUUCGAUCAUCUCUUCUGCAUCUGGAAUUU
This 505-nucleotide long non-coding RNA is filed under the name Elaeis guineensis (African oil palm). RNAcentral's name for it is "long non-coding RNA (EGUI_LNC078745)". The record is from RNAcentral. Lineage: Eukaryota; Viridiplantae; Streptophyta; Magnoliopsida; Arecales; Arecaceae.